This 442-nucleotide ribosomal RNA is filed under the name uncultured bacterium. Its description in RNAcentral is "partial 16S ribosomal RNA". It matches the Rfam family "Bacterial small subunit ribosomal RNA", at positions 338 to 795 of the family's 1533-position model. The record is from RNAcentral.
CCUACGGGAGGCUGCAGUGGGGAAUAUUGGGCAAUGGGCGAAAGCCUGACCCAGCAACGCCGCGUGAAGGAAGAAGGCUUUCGGGUUGUAAACUUCUUUUGACGGGGAAGAGCAGAAGACGGUACCUGUCGAAUAAGCCACGGCUGACUACGUGCCAGCAGCCGCGGUAAUACGUAGGUGGCCAGCGUUGUCCGGAUUUACUGGGGGUAAAGGGCGUGUAGCCGGGAUGACAAGGCAGAUGUGAAAUCCGGGGGCUCAACCCCCGAAAUGCAUUUGAAACUGUUGGGCUUGAGUAUCGGAGAGGCAGGCGGAAUUCCUAGUGUAGCGGUGAAAUGCGUAGAUAUUAGGAGGAACACCAGUGGCGAAGGCGGCCUGCUGGACGACAACUGACGGUGAGGCGCGAAAGCGUGGGGAGCAAACAGGAUUAGAUACCCUAGUAGUC